RNAcentral lists this ribosomal RNA (496 nucleotides) under uncultured bacterium. Its description in RNAcentral is "partial 16S ribosomal RNA". It matches the Rfam family "Bacterial small subunit ribosomal RNA", at positions 28 to 506 of the family's 1533-position model. The record is from RNAcentral.
GAUGAACGCUGGCGGCGUGCCUAAUACAUGCAAGUCGAGCGAACGGACGAGAAGCUUGCUUCUCUGAUGUUAGCGGCGGACGGGUGAGUAACACGUGGAUAACCUACCUAUAAGACUGGGAUAACUUCGGGAAACCGUAGCUAAUACCGGAUAAUAUUUUGAACCGCAUGGUUCAAAAGUGAAAGACGGUCUUGCUGUCACUUAUAGAUGGAUCCGCGCUGCAUUAGCUAGUUGGUAAGGUAACGGCUUACCAAGGCAACGAUGCAUAGCCGUCCUGAGAGGGUGAUCGGCCACACUGGAACUGAGACACGGUCCAGACUCCUACGGGAGGCAGCAGUAGGGAAUCUUCCGCAAUGGGCGAAAGCCUGACGGAGCAACGCCGCGUGAGUGAUGAAGGUCUUCGGAUCGUAAAACUCUGUUAUUAGGGAAGAACAUAUGUGUAAGUAACUGUGCACAUCUUGACGGUACCUAAUCAGAAAGCCACGGCUAACUACGU